This 245-nucleotide ribosomal RNA is filed under the name uncultured bacterium. RNAcentral describes it as "partial 16S ribosomal RNA". It matches the Rfam family "Bacterial small subunit ribosomal RNA", at positions 91 to 339 of the family's 1533-position model. The record is from RNAcentral.
GCGAGUGGCGGACGGGUGAGUAACGCGUAGGAAUCUGCCUAUUGGUGGGGGACAACUUAGGGAAACUUAAGCUAAUACCGCAUAAGCCCUACGGGGGAAAGCGGGGGACCUUCGGGCCUCGCGCCGAUAGAUGAGCCUGCGUCAGAUUAGCUUGUUGGUGAGGUAAUGGCUCACCAAGGCAACGAUCUGUAGCUGGUCUGAGAGGAUGAUCAGCCACACUGGGACUGAGACACGGCCCAGACUCC